Molecule: non-coding RNA, 583 nt
Organism: Callorhinus ursinus (northern fur seal)
Lineage: Eukaryota; Metazoa; Chordata; Mammalia; Carnivora; Otariidae
Source: RefSeq, a predicted model, not a curated record
CCGGGACGCAGGAGGUCCCACGCCGGGUGCGCACACCGGUGAGGACCCGGAGCCCUGGGAGGUAUCGCGUUUCUCUAGGACUCAGAGCCAACUUGACUCUCUCAGAUCCUGCACAUCUUCAUGCAGCUACUGAGCUGCCUGAGGUGACACAUUCAGACCUUGUCUGGGAGAAAAAGUAUCGAUGUACAACCAGCUGAGCAAGCAUUUGUCUGGGAUGAAACGAUGUUCUGAGACAUGGAACUUCUAGAGCUAAAACAAGGAGAAUCCUGAAAAACUACAAUGGAGUGCUGGAAGCAUCGCCCUGCUCUCAGGUGCUUAGCUUUGUUGGCUCCCAGAGUGUCCCCUCAUCCCUUCUGGUCCAGGUCUUGGCUCCUGAGGAGUUUGCAGCCCCUAAGGAAUAGAGUGGAAUGCACAAAGCAUUCUUGGGUUGGGACGUGGAGCCUCCAUGGAUGGCUCGCUGCCUGAUGGAUAAUGGAGACGGGAGCUUGUUAGGCCACCCCCACACCCUGUCAGACAAUGCCAGGAAUGACUGAGAAGCACACAGCAUACUGCCUACAUCAGCAUGGUGACAUUGCUGUAAUCU